UACGUAGGGUGCGAGCGUUAAUCGGAAUUACUGGGCGUAAAGCGUGCGCAGGCGGUCUGUUAAGACCGAUGUGAAAUCCCCGGCUUAACCUGGGAACUGCAUUUGUGACUGCAUUGCUGGAGUGCGGCAGAGGGGGAUGGAAUUCCGCGUGUAGCAGUGAAAUGCGUAGAUAUGCGGAGGAACACCGAUGGCGAAGGCAAUCCCCUGGGCCUGCACUGACGCUCAUGCACGAAAGCGUGGGGAGCAA
RNAcentral lists this ribosomal RNA (247 nucleotides) under uncultured bacterium. Its description in RNAcentral is "partial 16S ribosomal RNA". It matches the Rfam family "Bacterial small subunit ribosomal RNA", at positions 524 to 771 of the family's 1533-position model. The record is from RNAcentral.